UGCUGAGUAAUUACAAUUGACUACAACCACCAAUAUAUUCUGCUGCACUAUAUCUAUAUAUGCAAAGCUAAUUCUGCUGGGAAGUGACAAGAAACAAUGUAAUGUGGAACCGUACAGCAGAAGGGAUUGCGGCUACCCCACAAUAAGUGCAGCGGAAUGUAAGAAGAGGAAUUGUUGCUUUGACUGCAGCAUUCCCGGGGUUAACUGGUGUUUCUUCAAGUCACAAGAACCACUAUUUGUCUGAUCAGUUAUUUAAUAUUGGAACCAGUAGAUAUAAGGUGGAUUUUAUAUGUUAAUUAAACACUUUUAAUUGACUGUAAAGAAGUCUACGCCAGCUUAUCUCUGAUUACGGACAUUGGAAUAGAAGUAUACUGAAGAGAGAUGAGCGUUGUGCGGCAAGUUGUCAUGACAACGGACUCCAAGACGACGUAACCGGAAGUGACGUAUCGCUAGACCUAGCGACUACGAGAAAAAGAUCUAGGACUCCGGAGGCGGAAGUGACGGAGUGGGAGUUCAGGUUGCUAUGGUAACCCGGCGGUUUCCGAACAUGACGCCAGGUGGAAUCAAUUUGGAAUCUGGCUGUGAUUUGCUAUUUAAAUCUGGAUGUGUGGUGCAGUGAGUAUUCAGCCUCGAAAAAGACUCCAGGAAUAGGAGUUGAAACGCGUCGGCGUAUUCCAUCUGUGACUGGCAUUUACGGUGGUCUGCACUUCUAAGAACCAGAGGACUUUCCAGCUCCAGCCCGGGCGGUUUUGGGAUUUAAAAGAACUUGUUUGAGAACUUUUUUGGGUUCUCAAACCCUCUGGUAAUUGCUCUGCAUAUCUCUUUGUGGCUGUCACAUUUUGGAGAAUCAUUCUGCACAUUUUUACCCUACCUGUUUAUUGUGUUAUGUCCAUGUUCCCCGA
Long non-coding RNA from Pseudophryne corroboree (corroboree frog), 902 nucleotides. RefSeq lists it as uncharacterized. NCBI's taxonomy places the organism in Eukaryota, Metazoa, Chordata, Amphibia, Anura, Myobatrachidae. The record is from RefSeq and is a predicted model, not a curated record. The transcript is spliced from 3 exons.